This 460-nucleotide long non-coding RNA is filed under the name Medicago truncatula (barrel medic). RNAcentral's name for it is "lncRNA gene25860". Lineage: Eukaryota; Viridiplantae; Streptophyta; Magnoliopsida; Fabales; Fabaceae. The record is from RNAcentral.
GAUAUGAAUAGCAAAUCUUGCAAAUUGCUAAAAGAUGUUGUGAGGCAAGCAAUUUCUGAAGCGCAUGAAGUACUGGAAAGAAUCUUCCUUGUUGGCUAGAAAGUAGAAACAAAUGAAGGUGGACUAAUGUGAGAGCAAUUGACAUUAACUACGUGAAUUGUGUUAUCUUAAAGCAUACUCCCCGGUAUAGAGCUGUCAAAAAUGGGCCCGGCUCAUGGGCCGGCCCAUUGGCUCAUAUUUUUGGGCCGGGUUGGGCCUAAAAAACUAACAAAAAAAUGUACUCGGGUUUUUUCCGGCCCAAGCCCAUUUGGGCCAUACAAAAGUUGGGCCGGGCUGGUCCACUGGACUUUGGGCCGGCCCAUUAGCCCAUAUUUCAUUUUUAUGUCCAUCCAAUCAUAUUUUAGCAAAAAAAUAAUGGUGAGUAACUAAUACAUAAGAAAUACAUAAAAAAAAGUGAAUA